AAAUUGAAGAGUUUGAUCAUGGCUCAGAUUGAACGCUGGCGGCAGGCCUAACACAUGCAAGUCGAACGGUAACAGGAAGCAGCUUGCUGCUUUGCUGACGAGUGGCGGACGGGUGAGUAAUGUCUGGGAAACUGCCUGAUGGAGGGGGAUAACUACUGGAAACGGUGGCUAAUACCGCAUAACGUCGCAAGACCAAAGAGGGGGACCUUCGGGCCUCUUGCCAUCAGAUGUGCCCAGAUGGGAUUAGCUAGUUGGUGAGGUAACGGCUCACCAAGGCGACGAUCCCUAGCUGGUCUGAGAGGAUGACCAGCCACACUGGAACUGAGACACGGUCCAGACUCCUACGGGAGGCAGCAGUGGGGAAUAUUGCACAAUGGGCGCAAGCCUGAUGCAGCCAUGCCGCGUGUAUGAAGAAGGCCUUCGGGUUGUAAAGUACUUUCAGCGGGGAGGAAGGUGUUGUGGUUAAUAACCUCAGCAAUUGACGUUACCCGCAGAAGAAGCACCGGCUAACUCCGUGCCAGCAGCCGCGGUAAUACGGAGGGUGCAAGCGUUAAUCGGAAUUACUGGGCGUAAAGCGCACGCAGGCGGUCUGUCAAGUCGGAUGUGAAAUCCCCGGGCUCAACCUGGGAACUGCAUUCGAAACUGGCAGGCUUGAGUCUUGUAGAGGGGGGUAGAAUUCCAGGUGUAGCGGUGAAAUGCGUAGAGAUCUGGAGGAAUACCGGUGGCGAAGGCGGCCCCCUGGACAAAGACUGACGCUCAGGUGCGAAAGCGUGGGGAGCAAACAGGAUUAGAUACCCUGGUAGUCCACGCCGUAAACGAUGUCUACUUGGAGGUUGUGCCCUUGAGGCGUGGCUUCCGGAGCUAACGCGUUAAGUAGACCGCCUGGGGAGUACGGCCGCAAGGUUAAAACUCAAAUGAAUUGACGGGGGCCCGCACAAGCGGUGGAGCAUGUGGUUUAAUUCGAUGCAACGCGAAGAACCUUACCUGGUCUUGACAUCCACAGAACUUUCCAGAGAUGGAUUGGUGCCUUCGGGAACUGUGAGACAGGUGCUGCAUGGCUGUCGUCAGCUCGUGUUGUGAAAUGUUGGGUUAAGUCCCGCAACGAGCGCAACCCUUAUCCUUUGUUGCCAGCGGUCCGGCCGGGAACUCAAAGGAGACUGCCAGUGAUAAACUGGAGGAAGGUGGGGAUGACGUCAAGUCAUCAUGGCCCUUACGACCAGGGCUACACACGUGCUACAAUGGCGCAUACAAAGAGAAGCGACCUCGCGAGAGCAAGCGGACCUCAUAAAGUGCGUCGUAGUCCGGAUUGGAGUCUGCAACUCGACUCCAUGAAGUCGGAAUCGCUAGUAAUCGUGGAUCAGAAUGCCACGGUGAAUACGUUCCCGGGCCUUGUACACACCGCCCGUCACACCAUGGGAGUGGGUUGCAAAAGAAGUAGGUAGCUUAACCUUCGGGAGGGCGCUUACCACUUUGUGAUUCAUGACUGGGGUGAAGUCGUAACAAGGUAACCGUAGGGGAACCUGCGGUUGGAUCACCUCCUUA
RNAcentral lists this ribosomal RNA (1542 nucleotides) under Salmonella enterica. RNAcentral describes it as "bacterial SSU rRNA". It matches the Rfam family "Bacterial small subunit ribosomal RNA". Lineage: Bacteria; Pseudomonadati; Pseudomonadota; Gammaproteobacteria; Enterobacterales; Enterobacteriaceae. The record is from RNAcentral.